RNAcentral lists this ribosomal RNA (653 nucleotides) under Pezizaceae sp. RHAMHF19. RNAcentral describes it as "eukaryotic LSU rRNA". It matches the Rfam family "Eukaryotic large subunit ribosomal RNA", at positions 223 to 888 of the family's 3401-position model. The record is from RNAcentral. Lineage: Eukaryota; Fungi; Ascomycota; Pezizomycetes; Pezizales; Pezizaceae.
GUCUAUAGUUAAAGUUUUAUACUUAUAUGAAUCUCCUUCAAUGAGUCGAGUUGUUUGGGAAUGCAGCUCUAAAUUGGUGGUAAAUUCCAUCUAAAGCUAAAUAUUGGCAAGAGACCGAUAGUGCACAAGUAGAGUGAUCGAAAGAUGAAAAGAACUCUGAACAGAGAGUUAAAUAGUACGUGAAAUUGUUGAAAGGGAAGCACUUGCAACUAGAUAUAUUUAGAACUAAUCAAUUACUAUUUAUUAGUGAUGCACUUAGUUUUAAAUAGGUCAAUAUGAGUUAUCAUAAGCAGGAAAAAGAUUGAUGGAAUGUAGCUCUCUUCGGGGAGUGUUAUAGCUGUUAAUUGAAUACUGCUCGUUAUGACUGAGGACUGCACUGAAUAAGUAAGGAUAUUGACAUAAUGGUUGUAAGUGACCCGUCUUGAAACACGGACCAAGGAGUCUAGCAUCUAUGCAAGUAUUUGGAUUUAUUAAUCCUUAUGCGAAAUGAAAGUAAAUGGAGGUGGGAACCUUUUUGGUGCACCAUCGACCAAUCCUGAUGUUUUCGGAUGGAUUUGAGUAGGAGCAUAGCUGUUGGGACCCGAAAGAUGGUGAACUAUGCCUGGAUAGGGUGAAGCCAGAGGAAACUCUGGUGGAGGCUCGCAGCGGUUCUG